UUUCCUUUUUUAAAAAACUUUUUUUCCUUUUUCUUAGCGAGGAAAAGAAACCAACAGGGAUUGCCUCAGUAGCGGCGAGUGAAGCGGCAAGAGCUCAGAUUUGAAAUCUCACCUAGUGUGCGAGUUGUAAAUUGCAGGUGGGAGUCUCGGGUUAGACGUGUGUGCAAGUCCCUUGGAACAGGGUGCCACUGAGGGUGAGAGCCCCGUAGCGUGCAUGUCGACACCUGUGAGGCCCUUCCGACGAGUCGAGUUGUUUGGGAAUGCAGCUCUAAGUGGGUGGUAAAUUCCAUCUAAGGCUAAAUAUUGGCGAGAGACCGAUAGCGAACAAGUACUGUGAAGGAAAGAUGAAAAGCACUUUGAAAAGAGAGGGAAACAGCACGUGAAAUUGUUGAAAGGGAAGGGUAUCGGGCUCGACAUGGGAUUUACGCAUCGUUGCCUCUUGUGGGCGGCGCUCUGGGUUUUUCCUGGGCCAGCAUCGGUUUUCGUUGCAGGAUAAGGACAAUUGGAAUGUGGCUCCUCGGAGUGUUAUAGCCUUUUGUAGAUGCUGCGUAUGGGGACCGAGUGCUGCGGCGGACUGCUUCGUCUCUGAUCUGACGAAGGAAGGUUGAAGGGU
RNAcentral lists this ribosomal RNA (613 nucleotides) under Pichia kluyveri. RNAcentral's name for it is "eukaryotic LSU rRNA". It matches the Rfam family "Eukaryotic large subunit ribosomal RNA", at positions 1 to 638 of the family's 3401-position model. Lineage: Eukaryota; Fungi; Ascomycota; Pichiomycetes; Pichiales; Pichiaceae. The record is from RNAcentral.